UACAGAGGCCCCAAGCAUUAUCCGGAAUCACUGGGCGUAAAGGGUGUGUAGGCGGCGUUGUUAGUCUUUCGUGAAAGGUCUCUGGCUUAACUAGGGAACCGCGGGAGAAACGGCAAUGCUUCGAGGAUGCGAGAGGUAAAGGGAACUCAAGGUGUAGGGGUGAAAUCCGUUGAUAUCUUGGGGAACACCAAAUGCGAAGGCACUUUACUGGCGCCCUCCUGACGCUGAAACACGAAAGCGUGGGAAUCGAACGGG
RNAcentral lists this ribosomal RNA (255 nucleotides) under uncultured bacterium. Its description in RNAcentral is "partial 16S ribosomal RNA". It matches the Rfam family "Bacterial small subunit ribosomal RNA", at positions 524 to 776 of the family's 1533-position model. The record is from RNAcentral.